Molecule: ribosomal RNA, 467 nt
Filed under: uncultured bacterium
Lineage: Bacteria
Description: partial 16S ribosomal RNA
Rfam family: Bacterial small subunit ribosomal RNA
Source: RNAcentral
GACGAACGCUGGCGGCGUGCUUAACACAUGCAAGUCGAACGGAAAGGCCCUGCUUUUGUGGGGUGCUCGAGUGGCGAACGGGUGAGUAACACGUGAGUAACCUGCCCUUGACUUUGGGAUAACUUCAGGAAACUGGGGCUAAUACCGGAUAGGAGCUCCUGCUGCAUGGUGGGGGUUGGAAAGUUUCGGCGGUUGGGGAUGGACUCGCGGCUUAUCAGCUUGUUGGUGGGGUAGUGGCUUACCAAGGCUUUGACGGGUAGCCGCCCUGAGAGGGUGACCGGCCCCAUAGGGCUUGGGAACGGGCCAGGGCUCAUACGGGGGGAAGGGGUGGGGAAUAUUGCCAAAGGUGCGGAGGCUUGAGGCAGCAACGCCGGGUGGGGGAGAAGGCCUUCGGGUUGUAAACCGCUUUCGCCUGUGACGAAGCGUGAGUGACGGUAAUGGGUAAAGAAGCACCGGCUAACUACGUG